AGUCCCGUGGUGUAGUGGCCAAUCAUGUGGGCCUUUGGAGCCUAUGACGGCGGUUCGAAUCCGCCCGGGACUA
This is a transfer RNA of Halonotius sp. J07HN4, 73 nucleotides long. It matches the Rfam family "tRNA". Rfam says of the family: Transfer RNA (tRNA) molecules are approximately 80 nucleotides in length. The record is from Rfam. NCBI's taxonomy places the organism in Archaea, Methanobacteriati, Methanobacteriota, Halobacteria, Halobacteriales, Haloferacaceae.